This 338-nucleotide long non-coding RNA is filed under the name Pan troglodytes (chimpanzee). RNAcentral describes it as "long non-coding RNA NONPTRT005746". Lineage: Eukaryota; Metazoa; Chordata; Mammalia; Primates; Hominidae. The record is from RNAcentral.
GUUCUCAGAGGGUGAGGGUCCCACAUCUCCUGCAGGACAGGCCCUAGCUACCGAGUCACAGAAACCCAGGGCCGAAGCAAAGUCCCAAUCCCAGAGAGGCUGGGGCAUACCUACAACUGAAAGGAGGCUUAGAAAUCCUUCAGAGACCACCCUAUCGGUUCUCCUCCACCUGGACAGGAUGAGCCAGCAACACAGAAGGAAGAGGCCUUCCUCCGAAAGGUAUAGAGGCCAGAAGAGGUCAUUGUCUCCAAAUAGCAAGCAAGACCUCUCCGAGGCUGACUUUGUGCAGUCUGUAGGUGUAUUCAUGCCGUGGCUCAAAUCUUUAAAUCCAACUUUAA